AAAAAUGCUAAUAUUUUUGUUUUGGUCAAAGUCAAAAAUAAAAUUCAUUUAUAGUUUAUACUUUUAAUUUUAGGAACAAAAGUCAAGAAAUGCCACAUUCCACAAACAAAGAACUUAUAUUUGCCAUCAUGGUGGGAACUGCUGGUAUCAGCUUGCUGGUUCUGUGGUAUCAAAGGGUUCGUAAACCAAGGACAGCAAUGAGUUUGCCAAAAUUUUUUUCUCUGGGUAAUACAUUUGAUUCAACAACUUUGCAAGAUAAAACACAUAAUGGCCAAGGAACACCAGCAAUCUUUCAGAGAAGGCAACUUCAGAUACUGGAGAAGUUAAAUGAAUUGCUGACAAAUAUGGAAGAACUCAAAGAGGAAAUCAGAUUUCUUAAAGAAACUAUUCCAAAACUAGAGGAAUAUAUACAAGAUGAACUUGGAGGGAAGAUAACGGUUCAUAGGGUAAGUCCUCAGCACAGAGCCAGAAAAAGAAGAGCAACUGCGGUUCAAAGUUCAGCAACAAGUAAUAGUUCAGAGGAAGCAGAAAGUGAAGGAGGGUAUAUUACAGCUAACACUGACACAGAAGAACAGAGUUUCUCAGUGCCUAAGGCAUUUAACACGCAUGUAGAGGAAUUAACGUUAGAUAUCCUUCUUCAGAAGGCAGAUCACUUACGCAUGACUGAGUCUGGCAAAAUGGAGGGUUUUGAACUACUGUGUGACCACGAAGAGAAGUUUAGAGAUGAAAUAGAAUUUGUGUGGCGGUUUGCUCGGGCUUAUGGAGACAUGUUUGAGCUUUCUACAAAUACACAGGAGAAGAAACAUUAUGCUAAUAUUGGAAAAACAUUAGGUGAAAAAGCUAUCACUAGAGCACCUAUGAAUGGCCACUGUCAUCUGUGGUAUGCAGUUUUGUGUGGCUAUGUAUCUCAGUUUGAGGGCUUACAAAAUAAAAUCAACUAUGGACAUCGCUUCAAGGAACAUCUAGAUAUAGCAAUCCAACUUUUACCUGACGAACCCUUUUUGUAUUACCUCAACGGAAGGUACUGUUACACUGUCUCAAAACUCAGCUGGAUUGAGAAAAAAAUGGCUGCUACUCUGUUUGGGAAUAUGCCAUCUUCAACUGUACAAGAAGCUUUGCGUAACUUCCUUAAGGUAUUUUUUAUUGUCUUGGUUAUUCUUCUCGUUGCUGAGGCAAAAUAGCCAACACCCAAAGUUAAGGGAAGAAAGAUUUAUUGUACCUCACAGUUUGUAGAAGUUUCAGUUCAUAGUCAGCUGGUUCAAGACAGGGUGGCAUGGCAGAGGGACAUGGCAGAGGAGAAAUAGUUCAUGGUGGGCAGAAGGCAGCAAAGCAACGAAGUAGUGAGGAAGCAGCAAGUGAUGACAGCAACCCUCUUUCUGUUCCUUAUGUUCUAUCCAGGCUCCAUGGCCUUACAAGAGGUAGCACUGGCACCCAGAGUGGCUUUUCUUCUUCUCUACAUCCAGAACUAUGCCAAACCAAUCACUGGAGUAAUUUAGUAAUCACAUACCUGUUUAAUCCCAACAUCACAUACUUAAUCCCAACAUCAGACCAUACAUCCAGCCACCUCUGAAAAGUUCCACCUAUGACUUCAUAAGACUUUGGGAGGACAUCUAGACACAAACCAUAUCAUUAUUUUUGUAUCAGACUGACUACCCUCUCUGCUGGUUCCUACUACUACUCUUGUCAAAGAAAUCUAUGUCUUCUCCAUGUGUAGAUCUCUAAUUGCAGUACUCAUUUGGAUCCUAAUUUUGUCAUGUUCUGUGUUUUUGUUUUGCAGUAGUGGGGUUGAAUCCAAGGAGUGCUGAACUAUAUCUUCAGCCCUUUUGUUAAUUAAAUAAAAAUUUUGAGAGACAGUCUCACUAAAUUUUCCAAGCUGACCUUAAACUUACAAUCCUUUUGCCUCAGUCUCCUGAAUAGCUGGUAUUAUAAAGGUGUGCCACCACAUCAGUCUGGCAUGUUCUGUCUUAAGCUUCUAAUAAUACAAUCUAUGUUUCAAAUCUAAAUUUCUUAUGACAACUAGUUACGCUUUAGGUCCAUGAUAGAGAACUCUUUAGAGACGAGUACCCAAACUUCAACCCAAAACCCACUUAUUUAUCACAUAGUGCCAACACUACAAUUAAACCUGAAUGCUGAAUAUUUAGUUUAGAAAAAACAACUUAUAUAUUAACAGCUUUUAAAAGAAAAACAAAUAACACCUGUGCCAUAGGUUUGCCACCACUGCCCUAUGUCCUAGGAAUAACAAGCUAAUUUUAAAAAAUAAUUCAGCAGCCUAAAUAAAAGUUUUGUUGUAGCAGCCCUUACCAUCAAUCUGGGAGCAGCUCCCAAGCCAUGUGAGCAGUGCCAAAACAGCCAUGUCCUUCUUAUCAGACUUGUUUCCAAUACUGUACUCACAAGAAACUUAAUAUAGAACCAGUUUGUGUGUGUGUGUAUCUGUGUGUCUGUGUGUGAGUGAGUGAUACUGGGGGUUAAAUCCAGGGAGCACUGAGCUAUAUACCCAACCUACCCCAUCCACUUUUUUGAGACAAGUUCUCACUAAAUUGCCCAGGCUGGCCUCAAACUUGUAAUCCUCCCACUGUAGCCUCCCAAGUACCAGUAAUUACAUGCAUGCCAUCACAUGCUGCAGAACUAGUUUAAUUUUAGAACCAAAAGAUACUACAAGGAAGAGUUAGUCUUUAAAACAUUUUCUGAGUCAUAUACACUUACAUGAAAGAUUCUUGGAGCAUCAGAUCAAACCAGUAUUAUCUUAAUAUAUAUAGUUGCUAUGCAAAUACAACUUGAACAAUAUAUAGGUGUGCACACAUGUAAAUGUGUAAUAUAUCUCCUCAUAUAAGCAAGUUUUUGUAGGUUUAAUACUAACUGUGGAACCAAUAUAAAAUGUUAUAUUUACAAGUUGAACAACCCUAGCCCCAAAAUCUGAAGUCUGAAAUUCUCUAAAAUGUAAAACUCUUGAACAUUGUCAUAUCAUCUCUCAAAAAGUUUUAGAUUUUGGAGCAUUUAGAAUUUUAAAUUUUUGAAUUAGGAAUGUUUGACUAGUAGGUUAAGUCUAUACACAUUUUCCAAAAUUUUUAAAAAGUCUAAAAUAUGAAACACUUUGGGUCUCCUCAUACUUUGAACACAGGAUGCUCAACAUGUGACAAAUGCUUCCCCCCCACACUUCAAAUUUAUAAAAAUAUAGGCAAAAUCAGGCUGAAUCAUAUUUUCUGAUGAUAAUAUUUGCGUUGGAUUUUUAGGGAUUGAUUUUGUAAAACUGAGAGGGAAUUUAGAGAUCAUAUAGUCUAAGGUGGAUAAUAGGCUUCCUCUCAGUUUUGCCCUCUAAUCAAUGGCCAUUGGUUGCUUGGAGGACUAUGUGUGAAAAUUCAUGUCCUCAGAUAGAGCACAAGCCCAACAGAAAAGAAUGCAGGUAAUAAGAGUACAAAGGCCAUACACUUUUUAAAUUUAAUGUAAUUUUAAUUUAAUUUUUUUACAUAAAAGUGAAUCAAGGAACUAAUUUGUCCAAUCUCACACAACCACAGAGAUUUGAUUUAGCAUAACAGUUAAAUCUACCCAUCCUCUUGUCUUCACCGUCUUUUUUUACCACUGAGAAUUAACUCUUUCACUUUAAGUUCUGUAAGAAUAUGGAUCAUAGUACAUUUAAGAGAAAUUAUUUAUAUAAGAGAUGCUGAGUUAUUUUUUAAUGGUAUUUGAACUCAAAACUCAUUUCCGGGACCUGGGGAUUUAGCUCAGUGGCACAGCGCCUGCCUGGCAAGCAUGAGGUCGUGAGUUCAAUUCCCAGUACCAGGAAAAAAAACCCUCAUUUCGUCAUACCAUCAAAAUUAUAACUGAGGAUUGGGGUUUCAGAACACUGUAUAAAAGUUAUUGAGGGGAGGUGGGCCGCCUGCACCUGGGAAACCGUGCAACGGGGAGCUCCAGCCUUUGGGCCGAACCCCAGCCAAGCAGGCACCCGGGAGGCGGGCCGCCUGUGCCCAGGAAGCCACGCAGCAGGGAGCUCCAGCCUUUGGGCGGAACCCCAGCCACACAGGCGCCUGGGAGGUGGGCAGCUGGUGUCCUGGAAGCUGCACGGCAGCACGCGCUGGCGCGUGCCAGCCCUCAACCCACCCACCACCGUGCAGUCGAGAGAACUAUCGUGGCCCAGAGAAGCAAUGACAGAAUUGGCCUGCCACGCACCGACCACAGAGGCCUGCCCAGGGACGUGCAUGAAUCAUCCCAACGUGGAGAAACCCCUGGGAAUACAUGCCACACAACGGGUCGCUCUUGCCCCUGCCAUUGAGAACCAGAAAGGUCCAGAGUCAAUGACAAACAGCUGCUGAACAAGGACUCAGAGAACAUGAGAAUACAGACUACCCCGAAGACUGAGAGGUGUAGUUGACCGGGGUCACGAAAGCCAUUUGGAAGCUAGAAACCAAGAGGACCUUGUGCCAUACCUGGGGAGA
Molecule: long non-coding RNA, 4430 nt
Organism: Chinchilla lanigera (long-tailed chinchilla)
Lineage: Eukaryota; Metazoa; Chordata; Mammalia; Rodentia; Chinchillidae
Source: Ensembl